RNAcentral lists this ribosomal RNA (504 nucleotides) under Crocothemis servilia. RNAcentral describes it as "partial 16S ribosomal RNA". It matches the Rfam family "Bacterial large subunit ribosomal RNA", at positions 1819 to 2597 of the family's 2925-position model. Lineage: Eukaryota; Metazoa; Arthropoda; Insecta; Odonata; Libellulidae. The record is from RNAcentral.
GUCCUUUAGAAUUUAAUUGAAGGUCUGACCUGCCCAGUGAUUAAUUUAACGGCCGCGGUAUACUGACCGUGCAAAGGUAGCAUAAUCAUUAGUCUUUUAAUAGAGGGCUGGAAUGAAAGGUUUAACGAGGAAUUGACUGUCUCAUCUUAUUUGUUUUAAAAUUUAAUUUUUUAGUUAAAAAGCUGAAAUUUUAUUGGUAGACGAGAAGACCCUAUAGAUCUUUAUAAAUAAUUGUGUAAUUAUUUUUAUAUUAACACUUUUAUUCAAUUAUUUAUUUUGUUGGGGUGACAAAAACAUAUAAAUAACUUUUUUAUUUACAAAACAUUGAUUUAUGAAUAUUAGAUCCAUUAUUAUUGAUUAUUAGAAUAAGUUACCUUAGGGAUAACAGCGUAAUCCUCUUCCAGAGUUCAUAUUUACGAGGGGGUUUGCGACCUCGAUGUUGGAUUAAGAUAAUAGUUAGGUGUAGCCGCUUAAUAUAUAGGUCUGUUCGACCUUUAAAUUCUU